Molecule: ribosomal RNA, 253 nt
Filed under: uncultured bacterium
Lineage: Bacteria
Description: partial 16S ribosomal RNA
Rfam family: Bacterial small subunit ribosomal RNA
Source: RNAcentral
UACGGAGGGUGCGAGCGUUGUCCGGAAUCACUGGGCGUAAAGGGCGCGUAGGCGGCCUGAUAAGUAGGGGGUGAAAUCCUGCGGCUUAACCGCAGGGCUGCCUUCUAAACUGUCAGGCUCGAGCACAGUAGAGGCAGGUGGAAUUCCCGGUGUAGCGGUGGAAUGCGUAGAGAUCGGGAGGAACACCUGUGGCGAAAGCGGCGCACUGGACCACAACUGACGCUGAGGCGCGAAAGCUAGGGGAGCAAACAGG